AUUAAAGAGUUCUAUAACUCCCAAACCCAUGUGAACAUACUUAACGUUGCCUCGGCAGGUCGCACCUACCUUGUAGCACCUUACCCUGUAAGGCCUACCCGGGAGGUGCGGGUAAGCCUGCCGGCGGCCCACCAAACUCUGUUUGAUAUUGAAUUCUGAACCUAUAACUAAAUAAGUUAAAACUUUCAACAACGGAUCUCUUGGUUCUGGCAUCGAUGAAGAACGCAGCGAAAUGCGAUAAGUAAUGUGAAUUGCAGAAUUCAGUGAAUCAUCGAAUCUUUGAACGCAUAUUGCGCCCAUUAGUAUUCUAGUGGGCAGGACCGUUCGAGCGUCAUUUCAACCCUUAAGCCUUCGUUGCUUAGUGUUGGGAGCCUACGGCAACGUAGCUCCUCAAAGUUAGUGGCGGAGUUGGUUCACACUCUAGACGUAGUAAUUUUUUAUCUCGCCUAUUAGUUGAACUAAUACCCUGCCGUAAAACCCCCAAUUUAUCAAGGUUGACCUCGAAUCGGUUCAGACAAACUCGCUAAAUUGAAGCAUCUUAGUCAGCGAAGGAAAAGAAACCAACAGGGAUUGCCCUAGUAACGG
Molecule: ribosomal RNA, 585 nt
Filed under: fungal endophyte
Lineage: Eukaryota; Fungi
Description: eukaryotic LSU rRNA
Rfam family: 5.8S ribosomal RNA (bases 181-334)
Source: RNAcentral